UACGUAGGGGGCAAGCGUUGUCCGGAUUUAUUGGGCGUAAAGAGCGUGUAGGCGGCCAGACAGGUCCGUUGUGAAAACUCGAGGCUCAACCUCGAGACGCCGAUGGAAACCGUCUGGCUAGAGUCCGGAAGAGGAGAGUGGAAUUCCCGGUGUAGCGGUGAAAUGCGCAGAUAUCGGGAAGAACACCCGUGGCUAAGGCGGCUCUCUGGGACGGUACUGACGCUGAGACGCGAAAGCGUGGGGAGCGAACAGG
This 253-nucleotide ribosomal RNA is filed under the name uncultured bacterium. RNAcentral's name for it is "partial 16S ribosomal RNA". It matches the Rfam family "Bacterial small subunit ribosomal RNA", at positions 524 to 776 of the family's 1533-position model. The record is from RNAcentral.